AGGACGAACGCUGGCGGCGUGCUUAACACAUGCAAGUCGUACGAUGAUGCCGCAACUUGUUGUGGUGGAUUAGUGGCGGACGGGUGAGUAACACGUGAGUAACCUGCCUUUCACUCUGGGAUAAGCCUUGGAAACGAGGUCUAAUACUGGAUAUGACUCCUUGCCGCAUGGUGGGGGGUGGAAAGCCUUCGGGUGGUGGAUGAUGGACUCGCGGACUAUCAGCUUGUUGGUGGGGUUGUGGCCUACCAAGGCUUUGACGGUUAGCCGGCCUGAGAGGGUGAUCGGCCACAUUGGGACUGAGAUACGGCCCAGACUCCUACGGGAGGCAGCAGUGGGGAAUAUUGCACAAUGGGCGAAAGCCUGAUGCAGCGACGCCGCGUGGGGAUGAAGGCCUUCGGGUUGUAAACUCCUUCGCUCGUGACGAAGCCUUUCGGGUGACGGUAGCGGGAGAGAAGCACCGGCUAACUACGCGCCAGCAGCCGCGGU
This 486-nucleotide ribosomal RNA is filed under the name uncultured bacterium. Its description in RNAcentral is "SSU rRNA". It matches the Rfam family "Bacterial small subunit ribosomal RNA", at positions 26 to 521 of the family's 1533-position model. The record is from RNAcentral.